UACGACUACAUAUCAGGCAUAUCAAUAAGCGGAGGAAAAGAAACUAACAAGGAUUCCCUUAGUAACGGCGAGUGAAGCGGGAAGAGCUCAAAUUUGAAAUCUUCAAGGUUUUACCUUGACGAAUUGUAGUUUAAAGAAGUGUUUUCUGUUGAAGUUUCGGUAAAAGUUCUUUGGAAUAGGACAUCAUAGAGGGUGAGAAUCCCGUAUUUGACCAUUACUUCCAGCGUUGUGAUACACUUUCAAAGAGUCGGAUUAUUUGGGAAUGCAGUCCAAAAUGGGUGGUAAAUUUCAUCUAAAGCUAAAUAUUGGCGAGAGACCGAUAGCGAACAAGUACCGUGAGGGAAAGAUGAAAAGAACUUUGAAAAGAGAGUUAAACAGUACGUGAAAUUGUCAAAAGGGAAGCGUUUGACACCAGUGUUGUUUAGUUGAAAAUCAAUUAAAUAGUUUUCGAUUUUAAGUAGUAUUGACCUUAUCAGCUUGCUGCUUUCUUCUCGGAAAUUAUUUAAUGCACUUUUCAGUUAACAAGUCAACAUCAAUUUCUUUUGUUGUAAAAAGGUAAGAGGAAGGUGGCUUGCGCUUCGGCUCAAGUGUUUAUAGCCUUUUACUUCUGCAAUCGGAGAGAUUGAGGUCUGCAGCGUAGAUCCUUCGGGGUUAGAUACAUUUGUGCUAAGCUAUAGCCUUGUAUAGACAACUUGUUGACUAUGCUCAGUCAUGUAGCUUACUCGCUUAUGCUAUUUUACCUACGCUUAGGAUGUUGAAUCUGUGCGAGACUAC
RNAcentral lists this ribosomal RNA (774 nucleotides) under uncultured Neocallimastigales. Its description in RNAcentral is "partial large subunit ribosomal RNA". It matches the Rfam family "Eukaryotic large subunit ribosomal RNA", at positions 24 to 644 of the family's 3401-position model. The record is from RNAcentral. Lineage: Eukaryota; Fungi; Neocallimastigomycota; Neocallimastigomycetes; Neocallimastigales.